CAGGCCUAACACAUGCAAGUCGAGCGCCCUCUUCGGAGGGAGCGGCGGACGGGUGAGUAACACGUGGGAACGUACCCUCCGGUUCGGAAUAACCCAGGGAAACUUGGGCUAAUACCGGAUACGUGCCGAGAUAGAGAUAUCUGGGCAGAAAGGUUUACUGCCGGAGGAUCGGCCCGCGUCUGAUUAGCUAGUUGGUGGGGUAACGGCCUACCAAGGCGACGAUCAGUAGCUGGUCUGAGAGGAUGAUCAGCCACACUGGGACUGAGACACGGCCCAGACUCCUACGGGAGGCAGCAGUAGGGAAUAUUGGGCAAUGGGCGCAAGCCUGACCCAGCCAUGCCGCGUGCCGGAUGAAGGCGCUCAGCGUUGUAAACGGCUUUUAGCUGGGAAGAACGGCAGACCUGCGGGCUUGUGUGACGGUACCAGCGGAAUAAGCACCGGCUAACUCCGUGCCAGCAGCCGCGGUAAU
RNAcentral lists this ribosomal RNA (469 nucleotides) under uncultured bacterium. RNAcentral's name for it is "bacterial SSU rRNA". It matches the Rfam family "Bacterial small subunit ribosomal RNA", at positions 43 to 524 of the family's 1533-position model. The record is from RNAcentral.